RNAcentral lists this ribosomal RNA (443 nucleotides) under Clostridioides difficile. RNAcentral describes it as "bacterial SSU rRNA". It matches the Rfam family "Bacterial small subunit ribosomal RNA", at positions 1096 to 1533 of the family's 1533-position model. The record is from RNAcentral. Lineage: Bacteria; Bacillati; Bacillota; Clostridia; Peptostreptococcales; Peptostreptococcaceae.
GCGCAACCCUUGUCUUUAGUUGCCAUCAUUAAGUUGGGCACUCUAGAGAGACUGCCAGGGAUAACCUGGAGGAAGGUGGGGAUGACGUCAAAUCAUCAUGCCCUUUAUGCUUAGGGCUACACACGUGCUACAAUGGGUAGUACAGAGGGUUGCCAAGCCGUAAGGUGGAGCUAAUCCCUUAAAGCUACUCUCAGUUCGGAUUGUAGGCUGAAACUCGCCUACAUGAAGCUGGAGUUACUAGUAAUCGCAGAUCAGAAUGCUGCGGUGAAUGCGUUCCCGGGUCUUGUACACACCGCCCGUCACACCACGGGAGUUGGAGACGCCCGAAGCCGAUUAUCUAACCUUUUGGAAGAAGUCGUCGAAGGUGGAAUCAAUAACUGGGGUGAAGUCGUAACAAGGUAGCCGUAUCGGAAGGUGCGGCUGGAUCACCUCCUUUCUAAGGA